UGAGCAAUCUGCCCUUCUCAUCGGAAUAAGCGUUGGAAACGACGUCUAAUGCCGAAUACGACCUCCUUUCGCAUGAUCGGAGGUGGAAAGCUCCGGCGGAGAAGGAUGAGCUCGCGGCCUAUCAGCUAGUUGGUGUGGGUAAUGGCCCACCAAGGCGACGACGGGUAGUCGGCCUGAGAGGGUGACCGGCCACACUGGGACUGAGACACCGGCCCAGACCUCCGUACGGGGAGCAG
RNAcentral lists this ribosomal RNA (236 nucleotides) under uncultured bacterium. RNAcentral's name for it is "partial 16S ribosomal RNA". It matches the Rfam family "Bacterial small subunit ribosomal RNA", at positions 118 to 351 of the family's 1533-position model. The record is from RNAcentral.